AAGUCGUAACAAGGUUUCCGUAGGUGAACCUGCGGAAGGAUCAUUAUAAAAUUUUCAUAUAUUAUUUAUUUAAUAUAUAAAAUUAUAUUACAAAAUGUAUUCAAAACCCACACACUUUAUAACCAAAAAAAAAUAUAUAUUUUUUAAUAUAUAUUAUAUAUAAAAAACAACUUUCAACAACGGAUCUCUUGGCUCUC
This is an unclassified non-coding RNA of 197 nucleotides. The stretch from base 1 to 46 matches the Rfam family "Eukaryotic small subunit ribosomal RNA", at positions 1786 to 1831 of the family's 1831-position model.